GGUUUUGGCUCAGUGGUAGAUCAUCUGCCUUGCACGCAAAAGGUCUUAGGUUCCAUUCCCAGAAUCACCA
This 70-nucleotide transfer RNA is filed under the name Sphaerodactylus townsendi. RNAcentral's name for it is "tRNA-Ala". It matches the Rfam family "tRNA". Rfam says of the family: Transfer RNA (tRNA) molecules are approximately 80 nucleotides in length. Lineage: Eukaryota; Metazoa; Chordata; Lepidosauria; Squamata; Sphaerodactylidae. The record is from RNAcentral.